Molecule: non-coding RNA, 21 nt
Filed under: Caenorhabditis elegans
Lineage: Eukaryota; Metazoa; Nematoda; Chromadorea; Rhabditida; Rhabditidae
Source: RNAcentral
UAAAAUCUUUGAAAUCAGUUG